UGGCGCUCUGAACCUCCAAUAUCGAUUGGAGAGUAAACAUUGCCUGAUGGAUCGUCCUCAACAUGGCCAAAAUAAAUGUUUUGAGGUGAUUUUCAGGAUGUUUUGUGGUACCGAAGACCAAUACAAUAUAACAAGAGUUUUCGAAUCUUUAUCCUAUCUGCAGCACCUUAUCUGAGACGGGCGUUCUGAUCCUCUUUGUGCAGGACGAUAGAUGCCAGUGCCACCCAUCCCUCAUUACCAGGAGAUCGUGUGUGAUUUAUGUUAGUGAGCUGUGCGAUAAUAUAAAAAUGGUGAGAGUUGACUCAUUCACAGUGGAGGAAAUAAUCUCAUAGUGAACAAUGAUUAUAUUACCUGAACGUGGUUUCUGUGUAAAGACCUGACCACACGUUGUUCUGAAGACUCGGUUCCUGACGAAUAAGUGCAACUGACGAGGUACAGUCCAUAACGGGCAUAACCGAAGUGCCUAGCUGGUAGCCACUUAACUCUUAUUAGAACCAGUUAACUCUUAACUCCACGGUGUAUUUUUGUUUUCCAUUGUUCUCUAGUAUCGGAAUCCUUGUUAUUUAUUACGCUUCUUGAUAACAAUAACGCCUCUAUUACAUUUACAGUGAUUCACUUUCGAUAUGAGCUCUCAGUUGUAGGAGUUAUCCCUUUAUCUUUAAAUGGAUGUUGGAGUAAUUAUUGAGUCAACAACACGAUGUCUGCCAGGCUGGACGUGUCUGGAAACUAUGGAACCUUUAGAGUGGUAUAUAAAGGGCGGGAGACUCCGGUAAAGCCACACUCAUCUCUACGUUCCUGAAUCAUGAUGGCCUGCAGAACGCUGUGCUUGGUGGUGGUGAUGGUGGCGUCCUUGGGGACCUCUGGAGUCGGUGGACGGUCUGUAGAAGGAGCAUCAAGGAUGGAGAAGCUUCUCUCCUCGUCCAAUUCGCCGUCGUCUACGCCUCUAGGUUUCCUGUCGCAGGAUCACAGCGUCAACAAACGUCAGGUGUUCGACCAGGCGUGUAAGGGCGUGUAUGACCGCAACCUCUUCAAGAAGCUGGACCGUGUGUGUGAGGACUGUUACAACCUCUACCGCAAACCUUUCGUCGCCACCACCUGCAGGCAAAACUGUUUUGAGCGCGACAUCUUUCCAAUGUGUGUGGUGGACCUUGGACUCGACUUUGAGCUGUACCUCGAGAUCAGGGAUAUGAUCAAGGGGUAGACUCACACUCAAGUCUCUACUUUAAGUGGUUGGUGAGGAGGAAGGAGGUGUACAAGAUGGGAGAACUGCUACAGUAAUUGGGUGUUCCGUCAAUGUCUCGACGACCUACUCUUGAGUGAUGUGAUCGACGAGUACGUCUCCAACGUCCAGAUGGUCGGCAAGUAAACAAACACCUCAGCCAACCCCAGACAGUUCCCGCUGCGUCUACCGGUCCCCAUGGGCGUCCACGAACGUCUUUUUGGACACCGACGGAUGCCUUCGAACUUCCUGGGAACGUCUCUGAUGCCCCGAGUGUAAUAAUCAGCUCUUAUCGUCACUGUACUAUCCUCCUCUUCCUCGAUGCCAUGGCAGCUUUUACUGGUAUUGUUUUUUCAUUAAUGCGUAUAUAACUUAUGUACCUUAAAAUGUAAUGUAAGUAUUUAUUUGAGGGAGAUAAUGUAGUGGUUGGUGCAGCUGGGACAAGGGUUUGAAGCCUCGAGUCUCCCACAGUCCGACAUUUCAUUGCUAGUCAUAACUAUUAGUGGAGAUAUUUUUAUACGAUACGAGGGAUGUGUGGCGUUAGUUAGGCACUCCUGAGAGUCGUCGGUACCUCACACCCAACACACAUCCUUCCUUGCCAACACAAACACUUAACUAACACAUCACAUCACAUCAUUAACACAAGAUAAAGUAGAAUAAUCCUCUUACUUCAGUUCCUUCUUCAGUAGUGACGUUUAAACAAGUCUUUAACUAUCACGUCUACAGGGAGUAAAUAUCACGGUAGCUAAUGAACUGUAGAGAAUCCCCCAUCACCCUCACCUCCACCUGCGUGAUACCUGAGAAUCUCAUUUGUCCUCAACCAAAGAUUAAUAUAUUAAGUGGAUACACCUGUUGCCGUAGAGGGGAGGGAUGCAAUGUCUACCAAGAUGAAUUAUAUAUGAAUAAAAAUUACAUGAUGUG
This is an RNA transcript of Homarus americanus (American lobster), 2140 nucleotides long. It is a transcript of the gene named crustacean hyperglycemic hormones, with no coding region annotated. The record is from RefSeq and is a predicted model, not a curated record. NCBI's taxonomy places the organism in Eukaryota, Metazoa, Arthropoda, Malacostraca, Decapoda, Nephropidae. The transcript is spliced from 4 exons.